RNAcentral lists this ribosomal RNA (497 nucleotides) under uncultured bacterium. RNAcentral's name for it is "partial 16S ribosomal RNA". It matches the Rfam family "Bacterial small subunit ribosomal RNA", at positions 28 to 507 of the family's 1533-position model. The record is from RNAcentral.
GAUGAACGCUGGCGGCGUGCCUAAUACAUGCAAGUCGAGCGAACAGACGAGGAGCUUGCUCCUCUUACGUUAGCGGCGGACGGGUGAGUAACACGUGGAUAACUUACCUAUAAGACUGGGAUAACUUCGGGAAACCGGAGCUAAUACCGGAUAAUAUAUUGAACCGCAUGGUUCAAUAGUGAAAGACGGUUUUGCUGUCACUUAUAGAUGGAUCCGCGCCGCAUUAGCUAGUUGGUAAGGUAACGGCUUACCAAGGCAACGAUGCGUAGCCGACCUGAGAGGGUGAUCGGCCACACUGGAACUGAGACACGGUCCAGACUCCUACGGGAGGCAGCAGUAGGGAAUCUUCCGCAAAGGGCGAAAGCCUGACGGAGCAACGCCGCGUGAGUGAUGAAGGUCUUCGGAUCGUAAAACUCUGUUAUUAGGGAAGAACAAAUGUGUAAGUAACUAUGCACGUCUUGACGGUACCUAAUCAGAAAGCCACGGCUAACUACGUG